UAACACGUAAACAGCCUGCCUUCAGGAUGGGGACAACAGACGGAAACGACUGCUAAUACCGAAUAAGUUCCAAGAGCCGCAUGGCCCAUGGAAGAAAAGGUGGCCUCUACCUGUAAGCUAUCGCCUGAAGAGGGGUUUGCGUCUGAUUAGCUGGUUGGAGGGGUAACGGCCCACCAAGGCGACGAUCAGUAGCCGGUCUGAGAGGAUGAACGGCCACACUGGAACUGAGACACGGUCCAGACUCCUACGGGAGGCAGCUG
RNAcentral lists this ribosomal RNA (260 nucleotides) under uncultured bacterium. Its description in RNAcentral is "partial 16S ribosomal RNA". It matches the Rfam family "Bacterial small subunit ribosomal RNA", at positions 111 to 354 of the family's 1533-position model. The record is from RNAcentral.